RNAcentral lists this non-coding RNA (212 nucleotides) under unclassified sequences. RNAcentral describes it as "RT-2 RNA". It matches the Rfam family "RT-2 RNA". Rfam says of the family: Coriobacteriales (Actinobacteria), Clostridiales (Firmicutes). Downstream gene The record is from Rfam by way of RNAcentral.
UUAGGUAGGACUUAGUAAGCAGGUUUGCUGAAAACGACGCCUUGAGCGAAGGAGCGCCUGACCCGUUAAACUCGCCGCCGAUGCCUCGCCGCCGGACGCUUGUGUGCAUGGCCGGGGAUGUGCGGUACCCGGUUGCAUGGCGGCGACUACGCAGUUAGAACCCGCACCCGACAAUAAGACUGUACGGAGGCGCAAAAAUGAGCAACGAGGAG